This 426-nucleotide ribosomal RNA is filed under the name uncultured bacterium. RNAcentral describes it as "bacterial SSU rRNA". It matches the Rfam family "Bacterial small subunit ribosomal RNA", at positions 958 to 1398 of the family's 1533-position model. The record is from RNAcentral.
AACGCGAAGAACCUUACCAGGGUUUGACUUCCUGCGAAUUUUUCGAAAGAAGAAAGUGCCUUCGGGAACGCAGUGACAGGUGUUGCAUGGCCGUCGUCAGCUCGUGUCGUGAGAUGUUUGGUUAAGUCCAUCAACGAGCGCAACCCUUUUACUUAGUUGGAUUUUUCUAAGUAGACUGCCCCGGUAACGGGGAGGAAGGAGGGGAUGAUGUCAGGUCAGUAUUACCCUUACACCCUGGGCUAGAAACACGCUACAAUGGCCGGUACAAAGGGCAGCCAAGUCGUGAGACGGAGCAAAUCCCAUCAAAAACCGGUCUCAGUUCGGAUUGCAGGCUGAAACUCGCCUGCAUGAAGCUGGAAUCGCUAGUAACGGUAGGUCAGCACACUACCGUGAAUACGUUCCCGGGCCUUGUACACACCGCUAGUC